Pteropus alecto (black flying fox) is the source of this 4489-nucleotide long non-coding RNA. RefSeq lists it as uncharacterized. NCBI's taxonomy places the organism in Eukaryota, Metazoa, Chordata, Mammalia, Chiroptera, Pteropodidae. The transcript has 3 exons. The record is from RefSeq and is a predicted model, not a curated record.
CCAGACAAUUCAGUUUCUCCCCCUAUGUCCCUGGCACCUUUCAAGCUGCUGCCUCAGCACUAAAGCUCAGAGGGAAUGAGUACUUCAGUGAGUAAGUCCAUGCAUGAGCCUUUUAAGAAGCAUGUCUGAAACUGCAGCUGCCCUCCAUCUCACUCAGACACAAUCUUUGCUGGUUUUCACAACCAGAGGUUAUGGGGACUUCUCUUCCUGACACUUGAUCUCUGGAACGCCCCCUGGAGGAACCUCUACAGCUGAGAUAUCCUUUCCAAUUUUCAACUAAACUCAAGCUCGGCAAUCAAGGAUCAACUACACCCACUACAUGUGGGUGUGAGAUCAGACUGUUUCACAUCUCCCACCCUCCUACCAGUCUCAAGGUGGCUUCUUCUGUGUGUCCUGAGUUGUAAGACUUCUGUUCAGCUAGACCUCAUUUUCAAUGAUGGCUGUUCUGUAGUUUAGUUGUAAUUUUAAUGUGAUCAUGAUAGGAGGCAAGCACAGAGUUUACCUACUAUGCCAUCUUGACCAGAACCUGGCUUUUCUAGUUUUAGAGGUGCCUGCACUCCUUGGCUUGGGCCCCUUCUUUCAUCUUCAAAGCCAAGGAGUUCUCCAAAGUGGUUGCUCAGGACAUGUCACCAGUAUGUUGUGGUCAUUCUGGAGGGUGCAUAAUGAUUUUUCACUGUGGGUUUUUAAAAUUUUGGUGAAAUAUACCUAACAUAAAAUUAACAUUUUAACUAUUUUUAAGUGUACAGUUCAGUAUUAUUAAAUAUAUUCAUAAUGUUGCACAAUUAUCACCACCAUCUAUCACCAUAAUGCUUUCCAUCAUGUGAAACGAUAACUCUGACCCCAUUAAACAAUAACUUUCUAUUCUCCCCUCUCCCCAGCCCUUAGCACCCACUAUUCUACUUUCUGUCUCUAUGAUUUUGAAUGUUCUAGGAAUCAAAUGUGAAUGAAAUCGUACAGUACUUGUCUUUUUGUGACUGGCUUAUUUCACUCAGCAUAAAGGUUCAUCCAUGUUGCAGCAUAUGUCAGAAUGUUCUUCAUUUUUAAGGCUGAAUAACAACCUAAUUGAUAAUAGUAUUUUCUUUUUGGAGCAUUAAAAAUCAUCUCCUCUGGUAGAGAUGCAGCUCUACAAACAAACUAAUCAUGUUGUUUUCCAACAUUGCCUUACUGUCAGCUAAACAGUGAAAAACAGCACAGAAAAAUAAGCAAAUGCUAGUCUGUCUACCAAGGGGCAGUAAUAAACUCCAUUUCAUUUUGGGGAAAUAAACUAUAAAUAGACUCGUUGUAGUCAACAAAUAACAUCUAAAAUCAAAAAGAACCUAUAUUAUAGAUAUGGUUUAUUUUGGCAGAGAUUUAUAUUUUUUUUCCCCCCAGUCACAGAACUUUUUAUGAUACCAACAAUUUACAGUCUAGCUUUGGGCUGGCAUCUACUACAGAGAAAGCUCUCCUAAACUUCCCUAUACACAUUCUUUCCUGGAUAAGUAUAAUUGCUCAUGAAUGUCCAUUAUAUUACAGUGCUUUGUCCAAAUGCAGCAUAACAGACUUUUAUGUUAAUUUACAAAGGCCCUGGAGUCAUUUUCGUUUCACCACAAAACAGAAAUUUGGACGUAUCAGUGAUGUGUGUGAGGCAUGGAUGCUAAAGCUGGGUGCAGGUCUCUGGAUGGGUGGAUGGCUCCAAUUGCCAGAAACAGAUGGUAUCCUGGAGGGAAGGAGAUAUUUUUAAGUUUUGUUUGGACCCCAAAAUAUUUCUUAUCUUUUGGGAAAAUGUAACCAUUCUCGAGUCUCUAGUGAAGUGGGCUUUAGCCCGUGUGGAGAGUUUCCAAUGGCUGCUAUAACAGAUGACCACAGCUUACUGACCUCUUGCAUCUCUCUUUUAAGGACCCUGUGAUAAAUUUGGCCCACCAGAUAAUCCAGGAUAAUUUUUCAAUUCAAGAUCCUUAACUUAAUCACACCUGCAACAAAAAAGUCAUCUGCCAUCUAAAGUCACAUAUUCAUAUGUCCCACGGAUCAGAAUGUGGAUUCUUGUGACAUUAUUCAACUGAUCACACUGUAUAUGUAAAACCUACCUACGAAAGCUUCAGCCAAACAGCCCUGGGGUUGGCCACUUCUGGAGGUGUAAAGAGGGGAUAGAUUGGGAAAGGUGCAAUGGAGCCUGGGGACAGGGGUGGAAGUACGGAGUAUUGGAAAUACUGGCCAGUGGUUACCUUGUUGCAGCUCUUUAUCUUGCAUGAAUUGCAGCUCUUUAUCUUACAUGAAUUUGUACAUAUGUAAGAAACCACUGAGGUGAACACUCUAUAUUCAUGCACUUUAUACAGCUUCGCAAAGUAUAUAUUAUAUCUCAAUAUAAAGAAACACUUUGCUGCCCACUAGAGAGCUCAGGUUUCUGAGCUUCUGCAGACAGGACACGAGGCCGUCUGGGAUGUUGACUCAAGCACUUCUGAGAGUAAGUGAAGCAGGCAGGAGAUCAGAAGCACCCAUAUGCACUGACGGGGGUGCAGGGGCCACAGAAUGAGUGAUGCCAUCGGAGUCACUUACUGGAGGCCAAGCAGACAGGCCCUUCCUUGGCUCCUUCCUUAGCUACUUACUGAGGGCAACAUGAAACACACUGCCACCAGGUAACUGGUGCCACCAAGAGAUAUCGACUCUAUUUACUGAGGCAGGACACAGUUUGACAUUCUCAACCAAAAUGGUUUAAAAUAAAACAUGUUCUGCUCUUAAAAAGAUUGAGUCUGGUAGUGAUGGUGGGUGAAGGAAGAUUGGCUAGGAGAAGUCAAAAUAGAUGUUGGAAAAGGAACGCAAUCAAAACAGACACAUUUCUGUUCAGCUUCUAAGCUGAUGUCCUCACUCACUUAUAAUCGAUAAUGAAGUUUACCAAACAACAGGGCAUGCCUCUAUCAAUAACAGUUCACACAGCUCAGGCUGUGGUUCACACAGGACCCAAGCUGAGUGUUUUCAUAUACAUUCAGCAGUGCUCAACCUCCCUGUGUGUCUGAAUUCUAGGGGUCCCAACCCUGACCCCCAAAGUUUGUGGUACCUUGGAUCUAAGGACUGGGGUUUUUAUAAAGCUCCCUAAGUGACCGGAUUGAGUGGCCAAGGAUGAGACCACAGCAAUCCUAUUCAGUUGUUAUAACGAGUUCUAUGAAAGUUCUAUGAAAUUGUCCUCAGGGAGAAACUGAGGCUCACUUGAGGGGUUGAGACUCUUUCCGUCUCUGGCUUGUAGGUGACCUUCCAGGAUCUGUGUAGCAUUUUGCUCUUGCUUUCUCUGAUGUGUGCAAUUAAGUAAAAGAAAAACUGCAGCUUCACAGCAAAAACACAAAGUCCUGAACGUUACAAUUUAGUAAGAAAUCAUAUUCUAUAAUAACCUGCAAUUGUAUUUUGAUAGGAAUUCCAUAAAAAAAAAAGGCACCUGCACAGAUUCUCAGAUUAUGAGAGUGGCAUUCUCAGAUAUGGAAGGAAUGACAGUAAUUGGAGGGAACUUUGGGACAGAGAAAGGCCCAAGUGUCCAGAGGGGCCUCGCAGGAGAGAGAAAGAACCUCAGUGCUCUGAGCUCCAGUCCUCUCGACACGUAGUAAUAUCAUAUCCCAACAAGAAUUCCAAAAACAGUUUUCUACAGCCCACAUUUUGUCAUCAGGAUCUGAAAAUCACUGAAGGUUUGGAGAUUACAGAUGAGAGUUCAGAAAGUGGACAGAAAAAGCUUGAAGGGCAGCUAUUAUAUUGGCCUGAUGUCCAACCUGUCUUCCGGCAGCUGGAGAGCCAAAGAUGGCCUUACAGCCUCUGAGACGCCAAACAGGAAAAAAGGCUUACUAAAAGGGGUUAUAACCUACAACUCCUACAAGAGAUGCAGCUCUGCCAGGCUGAAGCUCCAUGUGCAUUUUCCUCCAGGGCGGUUCAUCUUAUACGAGGCCAAUCCUCCCUGUUCCAAGAGGGUACAUUCUCCCCCAGAAGAGGCAGUGGCCUCGAAGCCAAGUUACGCCUUCACCUGAGCAAGAUGAACUGCCUUUUCUUCCAAAAUGGUAGUUUCCCAUAUCUCAAAAAAUGGACAUGGAGUCCCAGCUCCACCACAGCGCCCCAAGAAUCCUCCAAACGGGAACUUAGAAUAUUAUACCCUAUUAUUUUGUUCAUGAUAUAUCAUGAACAUGUUUUUCCAGAAAAGAUUCUUUCGCACUUUGAUUUUUAAUGAUUAUACUGUAUUCUACCAUGUGGAUAUAACAACUUUCACCAAAGCCAAUCUGUUGGACAUUUGGUUUAUUUCCAACAUUGGCUAUUAUAAGCUAUAAUAAAUAACCAUGUAGCCAAAACCACAGCAUAUUCCUUAUUUUCUUAGAGAAAUUCCUAGAAGUGGAAUUACUGGCCAGAUAGGACAGACAGUUUUUAGGCUCUUGACAGAAACUCCCAAACUCCCCACUACAGAACUGUUUGCGAUAUUCUCUGCACCAGCCCUGGUGAGAAUAAAUGGCACAACUUUUAAUGAAUUACUAGCUAGCUCUUGAAA